UUAACACGAAGUGAGUGGCGAACGGGUGAGUAACACGUGGGUAACCUGCCCAGAAGUAGGGGAUAACACCUGGAAACAGAUGCUAAUACCGUAUAACAGAGAAAACCGCAUGGUUUUCUUUUAAAAGAUGGCUCUGCUAUCACUUCUGGAUGGACCCGCGGCGUAUUAGCUAGUUGGUGAGGUAAAGGCUCACCAAGGCAGUGAUACGUAGCCGACCUGAGAGGGUAAUCGGCCACAUUGGGACUGAGACACGGCCCAGACUCCUACGGGAGGCAGCAGUAGGGAAUCUUCCACAAUGGACGCAAGUCUGAUGGAGCAACGCCGCGUGAGUGAAGAAGGGUUUCGGCUCGUAAAGCUCUGUUGUUAAAGAAGAACGUGGGUAAGAGUAACUGUUUACCCAGUGACGGUAUUUAACCAGAAAGCCACGGCUAACUACGUGCCAGCAGCCGCGGUAAUACGUAGGUGGCAAGCGUUAUCCGGAUUUAUUGGGCGUAAAGCGAGCGCAGGCGGUCUUUUAAGUCUAAUGUGAAAGCCUUCGGCUCAACCGAAGAAGUGCAUUGGAAACUGGGAGACUUGAGUGCAGAAGAGGACAGUGGAACUCCAUGUGUAGCGGUGAAAUGCGUAGAUAUAUGGAAGAACACCAGUGGCGAAGGCGGCUGUCUGGUCUGCAACUGACGCUGAGGCUCGAAAGCAUGGGUAGCGAACAGGAUUAGAUACCCUGGUAGUCCAUGCCGUAAACGAUGAUUACUAAGUGUUGGAGGGUUUCCGCCCUUCAGUGCUGCAGCUAACGCAUUAAGUAAUCCGCCUGGGGAGUACGACCGCAAGGUUGAAACUCAAAAGAAUUGACGGGGGCCCGCACAAGCGGUGGAGCAUGUGGUUUAAUUCGAAGCUACGCGAAGAACCUUACCAGGUCUUGACAUCUUCUGACAGUCUAAGAGAUUAGAGGUUCCCUUCGGGGACAGAAUGACAGGUGGUGCAUGGUUGUCGUCAGCUCGUGUCGUGAGAUGUUGGGUUAAGUCCCGCAACGAGCGCAACCCUUAUUACUAGUUGCCAGCAUUAAGUUGGGCACUCUAGUGAGACUGCCGGUGACAAACCGGAGGAAGGUGGGGACGACGUCAAAUCAUCAUGCCCCUUAUGACCUGGGCUACACACGUGCUACAAUGGAUGGUACAACGAGUCGCGAGACCGCGAGGUUAAGCUAAUCUCUUAAAACCAUUCUCAGUUCGGACUGUAGGCUGCAACUCGCCUACACGAAGUCGGAAUCGCUAGUAAUCGCGGAUCAGCAUGCCGCGGUGAAUACGUUCCCGGGCCUUGUACACACCGCCCGUCACACCAUGAGAGUUUGUAACACCCAAAGCCGGUGGGGUAACCUUUUAGGAGCUAGCCGUCUAAGG
RNAcentral lists this ribosomal RNA (1394 nucleotides) under Pediococcus pentosaceus. RNAcentral describes it as "bacterial SSU rRNA". It matches the Rfam family "Bacterial small subunit ribosomal RNA". The record is from RNAcentral. Lineage: Bacteria; Bacillati; Bacillota; Bacilli; Lactobacillales; Lactobacillaceae.